CUCCUGUGUGUGGUGAAGCUGUCCAGGUCGGCGUUCCGCACCACCCGCUCGUACGGCACGUUGGCCGUGAUGAGGCUGUGGCUGUUGAAGGAGAGGUGGCGGACGGGGUGUCUGGAACACAACAGUGGAGAGUGCGCGGGCCCAGCGUAGACACACACACUGGGGCAGAAGCACAUGGAGCCAAUCUUGGAACGAAACAGCUCCAGGGAACAAGCUCCUAUUCUUCCUAGAGCUCUGGUGCAGCGGAGCUGGGAGACGGGCGCUGCCUGCAGAGGACGCAGCUGCUGACGAAGCUCUCUGAGGUGAUGACGUCGCCUGUUCUCUGAGAGUCCCGACGUACCCGCAGCCCCACUGGGGCAGGCACCGAGGACCGAGGGAGUGUGGGCAGGACAUGAGCCUCACCAAACGCCAGCUGAGAGACGGGCAAACUCAAGAAUGGGAGCGAGUCCCGAUUCCGGACCAGAGACGGUGGAGAGGGAGGCAUCAGCCAUGCUGGUGACAACGGACCGUGGAACAUGCAGCACGCAGUCGGAGUGCUGCAGAGACGGACCCAGGGCAUGGAUCGCGGCUGCCCAAGAGCCCAUGUAACCUGCUCCGUGGGGGCAGACACCUACGCCGGGAGCAAGUUUGCUUAGCAGGAAGCUGCGGCUAGCCUGGCACUGACUGUACACAGCCGUCUGUCGGGGCCGUCGCUCUGGACCACGCAACGGUCACCCUGCUGAUGGGAAAAGGACCGCAGUGAUGACACCUGUGGACCCUCACUGAAGUCACACGGAGACAUACGGGGACUGCAAGGCACCGCCACCACAACCCAACAGCGCGGUGCCAAUGAGCAGCUCGGGAAGACGACAGCUCUGAGUGUGAGCGCGCGUGGCGGGGUAGGAAGAUGCACAGGUGACCGACCACCCUUAGCAAGCAGGGUGUCAAAUGGUCACCCGGUAAACCCAGUAAAUGCAGCAUAGUUGCGGAUGACACGGAAGAGAAGACAGGAGAAGAGCACCGGAGGAGGGAGGGCGCUGUAUAAAUCGCAACGCACUGAACGUCUGCCCCAACUGCCCGGCAGGAGACAGCGCAAAAGGACACGAACCGAGUUCUGUCGUGCAACUGUUUCUUCUGUUAAUUUUUUAAUGUCCACGUUUGAAAACUGAGAUGAAUAAAUGACUUUCUAGAAAAGACAGAAUUACCAAAACUGACCCCCAGGAGAUAAAAAAUCAAAACAGAUGAAAUAAUCGAGAGCAAACGGGAAAAGCUAAGAAACGAGAAUCCCCCGCAAAGGAGGCGGGGGGGGGGAACGUGACAACGAACCCUGUGAGGAACAGCUCCAUCCGCGGCUGUGUCAACUGCCCCGACCCUCGGCAGGAGUGUUCUAUGUCCACCCUGCCGGGGCACGACGAAGCUGCAGAUGGGAGCGAAGAUCAGCGACUACAAGCCACAGCGUGUACCUUAAAGCAGAGGAGAAGAAGAAAACCCUGGCUGUUCCUGUGGAUGCCGAGAGGAAGAGAAAUAUGAUGCCCAUCCCCGGGGAUGCACUUUCACCGUGAUUACUGGGUCACUAGAAAAGGCAUAAUAUAUUUUUCUGUUUUACCAUGCAAAAAUGAUCAUGACUUUUCUGACAGCCCCGUAUUUCUUUGUUCUUUUGAAAUGGUUAGCCACAGGGGGACGCUGCUGGCUUACGUCCAGAGCUACCUGAACACAACAGGUGCGUGAGCCCCCACAAUGCUGCCUGCGGAGGGGGAGGGGAUCACAGUGCAAGACUUUCAGGGUGUCUGUGCCUCUCCUCGUAAGAGGGAAAUGGGGGAGAAGUGGGCAGAAUUUGUCAUUUCACAAUCGAAAUAUAAAAAUUGUUUUGUACAAAUGACUAGCUUUUAAAAUGUAAUCAAGGAUCUUAUAAUAAACCUUAAUGAAAGGCAAGAUACUUUACAGAUUUCUCCAAGUUGAGAAAAAGCGUUAGAGAUGACACCCAAAUUCUAGAGGUCUCACAGAGUUCAACAGAAACUAUAAGAUCCUCAGAGGGCUGGCACAGCAGCGCACUGGUCACACACCAUGCCCAGGGGCCAGAUCCCAGCCCCAGGGCACUGACGAACGCUAGGGGGAUCCCAACAGGGCAGAGAAAUGGAGGACAGAGACCGCAGUGUGCCUGCAUCCCAGUGGGGGCGCUUUUUCUCUGGCAGUUAAAUGUCCAUAAUAGGGUACGUCUUCCUAAAUAUAAAACCUAGAAACCAAAAAGAAAAAGUACUAUUUUUU
Long non-coding RNA from Tupaia belangeri chinensis (Chinese tree shrew), 2244 nucleotides. RefSeq lists it as uncharacterized. Lineage: Eukaryota; Metazoa; Chordata; Mammalia; Scandentia; Tupaiidae. The transcript has 5 exons. The record is from RefSeq and is a predicted model, not a curated record.